Molecule: small RNA, 807 nt
Filed under: Pan troglodytes (chimpanzee)
Lineage: Eukaryota; Metazoa; Chordata; Mammalia; Primates; Hominidae
Description: retained intron
Source: RNAcentral
GUUGCCCCCCGCGCUGUGCGCCCGCCUCGCUGCGGGGCCCGGGGCGGCGGAGCCACUGCCUGUAGAGCGGGAUCCCGCGGCUGGGGCCGCGCCCUUUCACUUCGUUGCGCGCCCCGUGCGCUUCCCGCGGGAGCACCAGUUCUUCGAGGAUGGGGACGUGCAGCGCCACCUCUACCUCCAGGACGUGAUCAUGCAGGUGGCCGACGUGCCUGAGAAGCCCAGGGUGCCCGCGUUUGCCUGCCAGGUGGCCGGCUGCUGCCAGGUGUUCGAUGCCCUGGACGACUACGAGCACCACUACCACACGCUGCACGGAAAUGUUUGCUCCUUUUGCAAGCGGGCCUUCCCUUCCGGACACCUGCUGGACGCCCACAUCCUGGAGUGGCACGAUUCGCUCUUCCAGAUCCUGUCUGAGAGGCAGGACAUGUAUCAGUGCUUGGUAGAAGGCUGCACAGAGAAGUUCAAGACCAGCAGAGACCGGAAGGAUCACAUGGUGAGGAUGCACCUGUACCCCGCGGACUUCCGGUUUGAUAAGCCAAAGAAAAGCAGAAGGUAGGGAGCCGCCAGGCUCAGCACGUGUCUGCUUUUGAUUUUAGGAAAAGGUUUCCAACUAGCCGGAAUGCAUGGACGGUCAGACUUAUUAAGCACUUGUGUGUCACCUAAUGGGGUGUUCACCUGCAGGUACCUGAAGCCCUGGCAACACAGCUACAGGUGGUUGUGCCAGCGGCCACCCUGCCGAAGGGAGGCUGGAGGGGAGCCCCUGGCUGCCCAGCUCUGUGCCGGUGGAGGCAGCAGAGGGGGUGUGGGAAU